RNAcentral lists this ribosomal RNA (450 nucleotides) under uncultured bacterium. Its description in RNAcentral is "partial 16S ribosomal RNA". It matches the Rfam family "Bacterial small subunit ribosomal RNA", at positions 354 to 796 of the family's 1533-position model. The record is from RNAcentral.
GUGGGGAAUUUUGGACAAUGGGGGCAACCCUGAUCCAGCCAUGCCGCGUGCGGGAAGAAGGCCUUCGGGUUGUAAACCGCUUUUGUCAGGGAAGAAAUCCUUUGGGUUAAUACCUCGGAGGGAUGACGGUACCUGAAGAAUAAGCACCGGCUAACUACGUGCCAGCAGCCGCGGUAAUACGUAGGGUGCGAGCGUUAAUCGGAAUUACUGGGCGUAAAGCGUGCGCAGGCGGUUUUGUAAGAUCGAUGUGAAAUCCCCGGGCUCAACCUGGGAACUGCAGUGGUGACUGCAAGGCUGGAGUGCGGCAGAGGGGGAUGGAAUUCCGCGUGUAGCAGUGAAAUGCGUAGAUAUGCGGAGGAACACCGAUGGCGAAGGCAAUCCCCUGGGCCUGCACUGACGCUCAUGCACGAAAGCGUGGGGAGCAAACAGGAUUAGAAACCCCAGUAGUCC